CAGCUCCCCCUCAGCAGGCUCUCUCUCUCUCUUUUUUUUUUUCCUCUCUCUCUCCUUUGCACAGAAGGGAGUCCCAGAGCCAGUUCCCUUGCCCGGAGAUGUUCCCAGCCCCAGGAGCUCCCAACCCCUUUGCAGGCUGGCUGGCCAGAGAGAGAAUUUCGGACAGGAUUUAGGCCUGGAAUUUCCCUCCAAAUGGGCGGUGUCGAUCAGGGUAAAAUGAAUACGUGGACAUUUACUACGGAGACAAAGUUGGAAAGAACCUGCUAGGCAGAGGGAACAGCACAGAGUUUCCAGGAGUACUGCCUAAGGAGAACAUGCGCGAGAAGGAAGCCCACACAGAGGAGAGCAGAGACCAAGCCCUGCAGACAUUGUCCGGGCUGUGCCAAAGACAGACUCACCCCUGGACUCUUCAGUGAUAUAAGCCAAUAAAUUACUUUUUUGUUGUUGUUUUUGUCUUAAGCAAGUAUGAGUUGGGUUCCUGUCCUUUGAAACAAAGAUCUAUCGAAGCCUCCCCCCAUUAUUCCUCAUUGUUAACAGCUGUGUUUCCUUCUUGCCUUUUUCUCCCAUGCUUACACAGACAUACUGGACACUUUCUAAAUAAAAAUUGACGCCACUGGCUACUCCUUUCUUCAAGAUAUACUCUUUCGCUUAUUUUUGUAAAGCCUAGCUCCCGGUUUUCGGCUCUCUUCCUGCCCCU
This 697-nucleotide long non-coding RNA is filed under the name Homo sapiens (human). RNAcentral describes it as "HSALNT0334315". The record is from RNAcentral. Lineage: Eukaryota; Metazoa; Chordata; Mammalia; Primates; Hominidae.